CCUACGGGAGGCAGCAGUGAGGAAUAUUGGUCAAUGGGCGUAAGCCUGAACCAGCCAAGUCGCGUGAGGGAUGAAGGUUCUAUGGAUCGUAAACCUCUUUUAUAAGGGAAUAAAGUGCGGGACGUGUCCCGUUUUGUAUGUACCUUAUGAAUAAGGAUCGGCUAACUCCGUGCCAGCAGCCGCGGUAAUACGGAGGAUCCGAGCGUUAUCCGGAUUUAUUGGGUUUAAAGGGUGCGUAGGCGGCCUUUUAAGUCAGCGGUGAAAGUCUGUGGCUCAACCAUAGAAUUGCCGUUGAAACUGGGCGGCUUGAGUAUGUUUGAGGCAGGCGGAAUGCGUGGUGUAGCGGUGAAAUGCUUAGAUAUCACGAAGAACUCCGAUUGCGAAGGCAGCCUACUAAACUGCCACUGACAUUGAUGCUCGAAAGUGUGGGUAUCAAACAGGAUUAGAUACCCCAGUAGUC
This 460-nucleotide ribosomal RNA is filed under the name uncultured bacterium. RNAcentral describes it as "partial 16S ribosomal RNA". It matches the Rfam family "Bacterial small subunit ribosomal RNA", at positions 338 to 795 of the family's 1533-position model. The record is from RNAcentral.